Molecule: long non-coding RNA, 1273 nt
Filed under: Equus caballus (horse)
Lineage: Eukaryota; Metazoa; Chordata; Mammalia; Perissodactyla; Equidae
Description: lncRNA (ENSECAG00000054737.1)
Source: RNAcentral
UGACCUUUACCUCAAAGAAGUUUAUCUUCUAGGAUUGACUCAGGACUGGAGCAUUUGUAACCAGCUAGGGGACUUUCAAGCCUCGGCCUGGGCUGCCGUGUUCAGAACACGCCGCUGCCAUCACACCCAGCUGGCAACGCUGCGCCCUCUGCUGGGCCUAAGGUCAUAGGUCGUUCCCAGGAAGGGAUGACUUGGUGUUAAGCACUCAUUCUCCCAUCCAGUGCCAGAUUCAGGGCAGAGGGUCCAGAGAAAGUCCCUGCUGCCUCAGCGCGGGUUGGAAAGUCUGGUGUUUCCCCUUCCCGCACUGGGCUCCACGCCCCCCCUGACUAACGCCUUCCUUAUUGUAGCUUUGUGCCAAGGGUCACUUGUGGUUCCCACUAGUAUAAGUCCUGGAGGCCCCAUUGUCCAUCCUGUGUGCCCUCCCCCAGCCUGUGGUUCGGUCCUUUGCCCUUGAAAGCACCAUAUGUGCUCUGCUGUGUUGAAUCAGACAUUUGCAAAGAGCCGGAAACCUUGAAAGAGAAACCAAAGGACACAGCAAGGUCACAGAGUAGAGUGGUUAAGAGCUGGCGGGCGAACCAAACAGGCCUGGAUUUGAAUUCUGUCUCCAUCACUUACUGUUAUGCAUCUGGGACAAGAUACCUAACCUCUCUGAGCCUCAGUUUACUCAACUGUAAACUGUCAGAGCCUCCGCUGACCCAGGCCGCCCGCCAUUCACAGCAAAGAGACAGAAGACCCAGGACAGCUUAAAAUGCCAGUCCUCCAGUCCAUUGAUCUUUAAGGAACAAUCAAAUUGAGCCAAAGGAAAGGAGUUCCGAUACUAGAAUUCCAGGCUUCUCUCUUGAGGGCCCAAGAGGUAUUAUGGGACCAGGCAGAAGAUCAUUUCUCCAGUGACACUUGAAGUCAGGAGUGUGAAGUCUUUAAAAUGACUUCCUACUGCCUUGCCCAUGGCGUACUAGAAAGAAACUGGGGCCAACUGGACCUGUGGACAUAGGAAGCGAGCCAGGAGGGGGAGGCCAAAGGAAAUUCGCGAAGAAGGUGCCGGAGUGCUGCUCCUCCAGAAUUUUUUACAUGCUUGUGGAUGCCACGGGAGCUCUUCAGGAAGCAGUGCUGAGGCAUCCUCUGCCUUGCUCCCCGUCCUUCCCUGCCUCCCUUCACCUUUUCCCUCGCCAUCAUUGCGCUGAGGUUGCCCUUUCCGAAUGAAGCACCAGCUUCAGGCUGUUUCCUAGGCAACUCUGGCUUUCUGGUUUUGUUUUUACUUAUUUAUUUCAUUAAU